Molecule: long non-coding RNA, 893 nt
Organism: Carassius carassius (crucian carp)
Lineage: Eukaryota; Metazoa; Chordata; Actinopteri; Cypriniformes; Cyprinidae
Exons: 3
Source: RefSeq, a predicted model, not a curated record
CGUGAACUGAACAGUUAGAGCUGUUUCAGAGAGAAACAACAACUGUCAGACCCCAUUAUCACUGAUAGAGGCUGUGAGGAAGACACUACGAUCCUUGCAGCAAGGGAAGGAUCUAGAUAAUGUAGCACUGUUCACAUUCUGCAAGCAGGUGUCGUUCCAGCAGUAUGAGGAUGACAAAGAUAAAGCCACUCUCUACAGUUUGAAGCAGUUAAUGCAUCAGAUCGCUCACAGCGACGGUCUGUCCGUCAAACAGAAGAGACGACUGGCCAAACACUUCCAGAGACAUCACCCAGGGACCUUCCUCCAGCACUUCUUUUCUUCAUUCUAGAAACACUGCAUACAAAUGAUCUGUUAGUCCAUGAAUUUGCAAGUAGACUCUGAUUUGUACAAGCUUUAUAAGCAGGACUGUUGUUAGAAAUAUGUAUAUAAUGAAGAAACUGCUAAUCACUACUGUACACUAUUUCAUCUGGUGAGUUUCAAGAGUGUGUUUUAUGAACAUUUCCGUGUAGAAUUACUUGAAUUGUGUGAAAUGCUCAGUUUUUUUAAGCUAUUAGAAAUAGUUGUAGUUGCACUUGAAAUCGAGAUAUAGAUACCUAUGACUUAAAGGUAAAGAUUUGAGUUAUCACUUAUUUACUUUAUUCUUGCAAUGAUUGCGAGCACAGAUGAUUUGAAUUAAUGUUGACCUCGUAUAUUACUGUUCUCUGCAUAAGUCUCAACUUCUGGUUUUGACUGUCAAAUCAUAAAUGCACUGGAUUCAUUGUGGUGUUACAUAUUGAUGGUAUUUAUUAAUAAGUAAUUGAACAGAAGGUGAAAGGCAUACCUUACAAAUUAUUGUAAUUGCAUUAAAAUAGUUUUUUUUAUAUGCACUUACAUUUUCUGAUAUUUAAACUUAU